Transfer RNA from Edhazardia aedis, 72 nucleotides. It matches the Rfam family "tRNA". Rfam says of the family: Transfer RNA (tRNA) molecules are approximately 80 nucleotides in length. Their secondary structure includes four short double-helical elements and three loops (D, anti-codon, and T loops). Further hydrogen bonds mediate the characteristic L-shaped molecular structure. tRNAs have two regions of fundamental functional importance: the anti-codon, which is responsible for specific mRNA codon recognition, and the 3' end, to which the tRNAs corresponding amino acid is attached (by aminoacyl-tRNA synthetases). tRNAs cope with the degeneracy of the genetic code in two manners: having more than one tRNA (with a specific anti-codon) for a particular amino acid; and 'wobble' base-pairing, i.e. permitting non-standard base-pairing at the 3rd anti-codon position. The record is from Rfam. Lineage: Eukaryota; Fungi; Microsporidia; Culicosporidae.
GGUUCCUUAGCUUAGUGGUAAAGCACUUGUCUAGUAAACAAGAGACCGUGGGUUCAAUUCCCACAGGGACCU